Molecule: ribosomal RNA, 232 nt
Filed under: uncultured bacterium
Lineage: Bacteria
Description: partial 16S ribosomal RNA
Rfam family: Bacterial small subunit ribosomal RNA
Source: RNAcentral
CGGACGGGUGAGUAAUGUCUGGGAAACUGCCUGAUGGAGGGGGAUAACUGCUGGAAACGGUAGCUAAUACCGCAUAACGUCGCAAGACCAAAGAGGGGGACCUUCGGGCCUCUUGCCAUCGGAUGUGCCCAGAUGGGAUUAGCUAGUAGGUGGGGUAACGGCUCACCUAGGCGACGAUCCCUAGCUGGUCUGAGAGGGUGGCCAGCCACACUGGAACUGAGACACGGUCCAG